This 442-nucleotide ribosomal RNA is filed under the name uncultured prokaryote. RNAcentral's name for it is "bacterial SSU rRNA". It matches the Rfam family "Bacterial small subunit ribosomal RNA", at positions 355 to 796 of the family's 1533-position model. The record is from RNAcentral.
UGGGGAAUUUUCCGCAAUGGGGGGAACCCUGACGGAGCAACGCCGCGUGCGGGAUGAAGGCCUUCGGGUUGUAAACCGCUGUCAGUUGGGAGGAAGGCUCCGUGAAGAGCGGAGUUUGACCUAUCUUCAGAGGAAGUCCGGGCUAAGUUCGUGCCAGCAGCCGCGGUAACACGAACCGGACAAACGUUAUUCGGAAUUAUUGGGCUUAAAGGGUGCGUAGGCGGCGUGGUAAGUGAGGUGUGAAAGCCCACGGCUCAACCGUGGAAUUGCGCUUCAUACUGCCAUGCUCGAGGGAGACAGAGGUAAGCGGAACUGAUGGAGGAGCGGUGAAAUGCGUUGAUAUCAUCAGGAACACCAGUGGCGAAAGCGGCUUACUGGGUCUCUUCUGACGCUGAGGCACGAAAGCUAGGGUAGCGAACGGGAUUAGAUACCCCGGUAGUCC